UGCAGAGCCAAGAAAAAUCCAAGGGGGUUUGGGGAAAGCAGUUAAAUAUCACAGCUUUAUCCUGGGGGGAUACCAGAGCUAUAUCCAGGGGGUAUUGAGGGAAUGUAUUUUUUUUCAGGAGAGGGGGGGGGGCUAGGUAUCUGAAUUUCUUUACUAUUCUAAUUAUAAGGUUUUGCAGACAGAGAAUCAGAGAAUUGAUUCAGUAUUAUUCUAUUGUCUAGUAAACAAACUAGAUUUGUAAGUCUUGUAGUUUUUUUUCUUUUUUUAAAAGUUCUUGCAUGGGUCAGAACAAAAAAUAAGCCAUCUUGAAUAACAGUGAUACCACUAUAACCACAAUGCAAAGCGCCACGAAGACGUGAUCUUCUUAAGUGUAAUUUGAGUUGCGAGCAUGCUGUAAGGCUGCUGCAUUCCAGCUACGCGUUUUUCAUACGUGUGUACACGCACGUAAAAGUUGAAAUUGCAUUACAUCCUACUUGUGAAAUAAUUAAAUUUAUAAAAGGACAGCAUUCAGUUUUGUGUAC
Molecule: non-coding RNA, 521 nt
Organism: Paramuricea clavata
Lineage: Eukaryota; Metazoa; Cnidaria; Anthozoa; Malacalcyonacea; Plexauridae
Source: the annotation of a GenBank genome assembly